GAAAUGCGAUAAGUAGUGUGAAUUGCAGAAUUCAGUGAAUCAUCGAAUCUUUGAACGCACAUUGCGCCCUUUGGUAUUCCUUAGGGCAUGCCUGUUCGAGCGUCAUUUGUAACCUCAAGCUCAGCUUGGUGUUGGGUGUCUGUCCCCGCCCCGCGCGGGAACUCGCCUCAAAAACAUUGGCGGCCGGUACGUUGGCUUCGAGCGCAGCAGAAACGCGAACUCGAGGCCCGACGGAUCGGCGACCAGAAGUCACUUCUUCCACAGCUUGACCUCGGAUCAGGUAGGGAUACCCGCUGAACUUAAGC
RNAcentral lists this unclassified non-coding RNA (305 nucleotides) under plant metagenome. Its description in RNAcentral is "partial contains 5.8S ribosomal RNA, internal transcribed spacer 2, and large subunit ribosomal RNA". The stretch from base 1 to 105 matches the Rfam family "5.8S ribosomal RNA", at positions 50 to 154 of the family's 154-position model. The record is from RNAcentral.